Aphidius gifuensis is the source of this 486-nucleotide long non-coding RNA. RefSeq lists it as uncharacterized. The transcript is spliced from 3 exons. The record is from RefSeq and is a predicted model, not a curated record. NCBI's taxonomy places the organism in Eukaryota, Metazoa, Arthropoda, Insecta, Hymenoptera, Braconidae.
UUGUUGAUAUUUUUCAAUUUCUAGAUAAAUUUUUUUACACAUAUGGAUUGUGAAUGUUUGAAUGACGUAUUAAUGUUGAAUUUAAAAUGAGGCUGAUGAUGAUUUUAGAUCUUUGCCUACUUGAUGCACCCUCCAUUUGAAGCUUGAGUCGAUGAGCUGUGCAGCUAAAAACAUUUAAACUUAAUUGAAUAAAUAUAGACCAAAUGAUUCGAAUAUUUAAAUUUUAUUUUUAAUAAUGUUGCAAGUAUAAUGAUGAAAUGCGGAAGAAUUAAAUGAUUGUAGUGUAAAAAUAAUGUAAUUUUUUUAACGCUUGAAUUAUGAUAUUUAAUUAUAAUCGAAACAAGUGGAAAAAAAAACUACAAGUUUUAAGAGACUAGGUGUGAUUAUAUGGAUGAAUAUUUAUUUGCAAAAUAUUUAAGUGUUUUUUGAUGGAAGAUGUAAUGGAGUGAAUAAGGAAAUGGACACACAUCGAGAGAUUUGGGUCAU